AGUGAACGCUGGCGGCAGGCCUAACACAUGCAAGUCGAACGGCAGCACAGUAAGAGCUUGCUCUUAUGGGUGGCGAGUGGCGGACGGGUGAGGAAUACAUCGGAAUCUACUCUUUCGUGGGGGAUAACGUAGGGAAACUUACGCUAAUACCGCAUACGACCUACGGGUGAAAGCGGAGGACCUUCGGGCUUCGCGCGAUUGCAUGAGCCGAUGUCGGAUUAGCUAGUAGGCGGGGUAAUGGGCCACCAAGGCGACGAUCCGUAGCUGGUCUGAGAGGAUGAUCAGCCAAAAUGGAACUGAGAAACGGUCCAGACUCCUACGGGAGGCAGCAGUGGGGAAUAUUGGACAAUGGGCGCAAGCCUGAUCCAGCCAUGCCGGGUGGGUGAAGAAGGCCUUCGGGUUGUAAAGCCCUUUUGUUGGGAAAGAAAAGCAGUCGGUUAAUACCCGAUUGUUCUGACGGUACCCAAAGAAUAAGCACCGGCUAACUUCGUGCCAGCCGCCGCAGUAA
Molecule: ribosomal RNA, 508 nt
Filed under: uncultured bacterium
Lineage: Bacteria
Description: partial 16S ribosomal RNA
Rfam family: Bacterial small subunit ribosomal RNA
Source: RNAcentral